This 406-nucleotide ribosomal RNA is filed under the name uncultured bacterium. RNAcentral's name for it is "partial 16S ribosomal RNA". It matches the Rfam family "Bacterial small subunit ribosomal RNA", at positions 29 to 526 of the family's 1533-position model. The record is from RNAcentral.
AGUGAACGCUGGCGGUAGUCAUAACACCUGCAAGUCGAACGAGUGGCGGACGGGUGAGGAAUACCUCGGAAUCUACUCUUUGGAGGGGGAUAACUUAGGGAAACUUACGCUAAUACCGCAUACGAUUGGAUGAGCCGCGGUGGGAUUAGCUAGUUGGCGGGGUAAAGGCGCACCAAGGCGACGAUCCGUAGCUGGUCUGAGAGGAUGAUCAGCCACACUGGAACUGAGACACGGUCCAGACUCCUACGGGAGGCAGCAGUGGGGAAUAUUGGACAAUGGGCGCAAGCCUGAUCCAGCCAUACCGCGUGUGUGAAGAAGGACUUCGGGUUGUAAAGCCCUUUUGUUGGGAAAGCGGUACCCAAAGAAUAAGCACCGGCUAACUUCGUGCCAGCCGCCGCGGUAAUAC